GACAAAUGCAUCCACGAUUUUACUCCGUAAUUAUAAAAACUUCCUCGUUUUGCUUUUUUGCGGCGAACAACAACAUCGUUAGUCAUAUACACGGCCUAGGAAAUUGUCGUAGGAUGUGAUAACGAUGUGAGCUUCAACUACCACCAAAAGAUAAGGCUGCCAAAUUUGGGUGGGUGCUUGUAGUUCUACAGUUCACGAAGAGCGCUAAAGGGAUGAGCCUGAUACCACGAAGGGUCUGCUCAAGCAUUCCUCAAGUUUUUGGA
RNAcentral lists this unclassified non-coding RNA (263 nucleotides) under Hevea brasiliensis (rubber tree). The record is from RNAcentral. Lineage: Eukaryota; Viridiplantae; Streptophyta; Magnoliopsida; Malpighiales; Euphorbiaceae.